CGCGAUAUCACGGGUGUGUUCUAGUACUAGUUAUUGUCAUAGGUACUUGAGGACAGGACAAUUGUUUCAGCCUUCCCCUUUUUUCACCAAAUCUGUUAUUGUUUUUUGUUUUCUAAUAACUUUAAAAAAUAGGGGGAGGGCAGAAAUAAAUUGCCCUUUCCCAAGUACCUAUGUUAUUGUUAUUGUAUUUUUUCUAUUUCGAUCUGAUGAAACCCCGUCAUAUUCUGUAUGUGCCUGUCCCAAAAUAGGCGCCUGUAUUUCAUUGUUUUACGUUUUGUUAUGUGCAUAUUAACUCAAUUCGUUAGUUUUCAAGUUUAAUGGUUGAAAAUUUUAUUAUUAUUCAUUUCGGGGCCCUAUGGAGUUUUCUAUUGCUUAUUAAUGAAGGCCGAAUGGUAACCUUUAGUAUCUAACCUUCUACGGCGUCCAGUCUCUGGUGAAGAGGGCACCGGUGAAAAGAUGCUCAUUGGCAAUCAUACCACAUCGUCUUACUCUUAUAUCACCAGUAGUGGAUAAAACCGUAUAAGGUUAAUUUUGCACGAGAGAACCAAUCCUUACUUUUAUAUGUUUUCCACUACAAUACUUUCGUAUUAAACUGGGAGAUUGUUUUGGGUUAAUAGAAUAAAGAAUAAUGGUUAAAAAGGAAUCGAUAAAAAUGGUCCAUAUGGAAAAGAUAAAAAAAAAAAAUGGUCCUAAAGAAACAAAGAAUAGUUGAAAAAAAUUAUCCAAAAGUAAAAAAAAAAUAGAAAAAAAUAGUACGCAAUGUGGUCCAAAAAAUAAAGAAAUGAGAACAAUGGGGUGCUAACAUAUAAAAUGUAGGAAAAUGUAAGAAAAAUCAGACUACCGUUGUUUGUUUGUUGCCCCUGAAUUGGUAAUUUUAAGGAAAUUUUGCAGUUAAUCAAACUUGGCCACAAUCAUUUGGGUAUUUGGUUUAAAAAAAAAUGUGUCUGAUGACCGUGCCUGCCAACCAACAUAGCCGACAAAGUUAAUAAUAGAACAUAGGGGUAAAAUGCAGUUUUUGGCUUAUAUCUCUGAAAUUAGAGCAAAAGUAUAAUUAUUGCAUUAUUCCAUGCAUCAAUUGUAAAUAAAAAAUAGCAGGUGAGUGGCACAGGUGUCUUGGAGCCUGUAGUUUUUAAUCAUAUGGCUUAUUACAAGCAUAUCAAUCAAGUAAAAGAUAUAGACAAUACAUUAUCUAUAAUUGUGCUCUUAGGAUAUGAAAACGCGGUAAAAUUAAAACAAAUCCUUCACAAAAUAUUUGAAAUUCUUAUGAUUAAAAUUGAUAAUGGGAAAUGGGUAAUGUGUCAAAGAGACAACAACCGACCAUAGAGAAGACAACAGCAGAAGGUCACCAACAGGUCUUCAAUGCAGCGAGAAAUUCCCGCACCCGGAGGCGUCCUUCAACUGGCAUCUAAACAAAUAUAUAUACUAGUUCAGUGAUAAUGAACGCCAUACUAAACUCCAAAUUGUACACAAGAAACUAAAAUUAAAAAUAAUACAAGACUAACAAAGGCCAGAGGCUCCUGACUUGGGACAGGCGCAAAAAUGCGGCUUUGUAUUUACUUUGUAUUUUGUGUGCAACACCUGACCGACACCUAACAGCCUAAUUUAUUACAAAACAAUUUACGAAAAAAAAAAAAAUAUGACUGACAUUCACUUAACUACAGGCUCCUGUGUUAGGACAGGCACACAACGACCUUUCUACUUACGGCCUAAAACUAUGACCAAACCCAUACCAUAUAUUAAGCUAUAAAAGACCCCGGAUUGGCCAAAUGUGAAACAAUUCAAAGAUGGAAAGGGC
RNAcentral lists this long non-coding RNA (1795 nucleotides) under Mytilus galloprovincialis (Mediterranean mussel). The record is from RNAcentral. Lineage: Eukaryota; Metazoa; Mollusca; Bivalvia; Mytilida; Mytilidae.